Molecule: unclassified non-coding RNA, 153 nt
Filed under: uncultured fungus
Lineage: Eukaryota; Fungi
Description: sequence contains ITS1
Source: RNAcentral
CAAGAAGAGACCGCCUCCGGUCCUCUACCCUUGCCCAUCGUACCCUUGUGUUGUUCCCUCGGCGAGGCCCUCGCGCCCGCCGGCGGGAAGAUCAACCAAAUCCUUUUUUGCUAAUCAGCAUCCAAAAAACUUCUGAUCAAACAUAAAUUGUCA